AUUGAACGCUGGCGGCAUGCUUUACACAUGCAAGUCGAACGGUAACAGGCCUUCGGGUGCUGACGAGUGGCGAACGGGUGAGUAAUGCAUCGGAACGUACCCAGAGGUGGGGGAUAACGCAGCGAAAGCUGUGCUAAUACCGCAUGUGAUCUGAGGAUGAAAGCGGGGGACCGAGCAGCAAUGUUUGGCCUCGCGCCUUUGGAGCGGCCGAUGUCGGAUUAGCUAGUUGGUGGGGUAAAGGCCUACCAAGGCGACGAUCCGUAGCUGGUCUGAGAGGACGACCAGCCACACUGGGACUGAGACACGGCCCAGACUCCUACGGGAGGCAGCAAUGGGGAAUUUUGGACAAUGGGCGCAAGCCUGAUCCAGCAAUGCCGCAUGCGGGAAGAAGGCCUUCGGGUUGUAAACCGCUUUUGGCAGGAACGAAACGGUGUCCGCUAAUACCGGGCGCUAAUGACGGUACCUGCAGAAUAAGCACCGGCUAACUACGUG
Molecule: ribosomal RNA, 492 nt
Filed under: uncultured bacterium
Lineage: Bacteria
Description: partial 16S ribosomal RNA
Rfam family: Bacterial small subunit ribosomal RNA
Source: RNAcentral